GUGCUGUCUUCCCCAGCACAUAUGCUAAAAUGGGAAUGAUACAGUGAAGAUUAGCAUGGCUCCUGCACAAAGAUGACAUGCAAAUUUGUGAAGUGUUCAUAUUUUUU
Budorcas taxicolor (takin) is the source of this 107-nucleotide small nuclear RNA. The record is from RefSeq and is a predicted model, not a curated record. NCBI's taxonomy places the organism in Eukaryota, Metazoa, Chordata, Mammalia, Artiodactyla, Bovidae.